This 253-nucleotide ribosomal RNA is filed under the name uncultured bacterium. Its description in RNAcentral is "partial 16S ribosomal RNA". It matches the Rfam family "Bacterial small subunit ribosomal RNA", at positions 524 to 776 of the family's 1533-position model. The record is from RNAcentral.
UACGGGGGGGGCAAGCGUUGUUCGGAAUUACUGGGCGUAAAGGGCACGUAGGCGGCCUUCUAAGUCGGACGUGAAAUCCCUCGGCUUAACCGAGGAACUGCGUCCGAUACUGAAAGGCUUGAAUCCGGGAGAGGGAUGUGGAAUUCCAGGUGUAGCGGUGAAAUGCGUAGAUAUCAGGAAGAACACCCGUGGCGAAGGCGGCUCUCUGGGACGGUACUGACGCUGAGACGCGAAAGCGUGGGGAGCGAACAGG